RNAcentral lists this long non-coding RNA (3488 nucleotides) under Triticum aestivum (bread wheat). RNAcentral describes it as "long non-coding RNA (TAES_LNC024503)". The record is from RNAcentral. Lineage: Eukaryota; Viridiplantae; Streptophyta; Magnoliopsida; Poales; Poaceae.
AAGGUAACAGGAGGCAGGGGACCCAGGUUCGGGCCCUCUUGAGGGAGGUAAUACCCUACUUCCUGCUUGAUUGACUUUGAUGAGUAUAGGGGUUACAAGAGUUGAUCUACCUCGAGAUCGUGGUGGCUAAACCCUAGAUGUCUAGCCUGUAUGAUUAUGAUUAUCUCUACGUACUGAACCCUCCAGUUUAUAUAGACACCGGAGGAGGCUAGGGUUAUACAGAGUCGGUUUACAGAGAAAGAAUCUUCAUAUCUGCAUGCCAAGCUUGUCUUGCACGCCAAGGAGAGUCCCAUCCGAACACAGGAGAGAGCCUUCUAUCUUGCAUCUUCACGGCCCAUGAGUCUGGCCCAUGUCGCAUAGCCCGGACACCCGAGGACCCCAUAAUCCAGGACUCCCUCACCUGCAAAUGCACCUGCAACUAGCAACGCUAUAAGAGGGGCUGAGCAAAGCAGUAACAUAGCCAAACGACGGUUUUCUAGGAUGGUGGAAAAGGUUAGAGGCUAUCAUGGCAAUUUGGGAGGCUUGAUAAACAAGUGGUAGGUAGCGCGACAUAGCGACAGCAUCGAGACAACUAGCAUAGCAAAGAUAAUAGUGAGAUUCAAGGUGACGGUCAUCUUGCCUAAAAUUCCGUAGGAAGAAGAUCGAGUCCAUGAAGAAGACGAACGGCAUAGAUGAACCAAGGGAAGUCGAACAAAUCCUCACAAUCGCAACGAAACACGAACUAUCGGGAAGAAGCACAACCGAAAAGAAGGAAACAACAUAGUAAACACCCAACACAUAAACUCGACAUGAUGCUCAACCAAGUAUGAUGCAUGACAAGGCUAGAUGAUGCUACUCAUGACAAGAGAUGAUGCAUACAAGAUCACCACAUCAAAGCAAGUUUAAAUGAGGCCGGAAUCAACAUACAACAAUUCUGGUAAGUCCCCAUAUGCAAAUUUCGAAAUUGGUCCAGAUCUGAAAACACAUUAUGUUGAAGUUUUUAAACAGCAAGUUAAAGUGCACCAAGAUGAUCUACACGUCUUUCUAGUCAAGUUACAUAUAAGGUUCAUUUAAUUCGGAGCUACGGCCUGGAAGAUAUGAGUAAAACAAGUUAAACAUGACACUGAUGCAAAUGCAAGCAAAACACAAUCACAAACACUCCAAAACAUGGAUGCAACAUGGCAUGAUGAACCUACAUGCAAAACCAAGCAAGUUUCCUAUAGAUCAUGCUCAAAACGGAGCAACGGUUCAACACAUACACUCAAUACAAGAUAUAACAACAACUUGCCCAAAACAGCAACUAGGCACUUUGCAGUUACCAAAACAACAUGCUACAGGAACUAUAUGGGCAUAAACAUGACAUGCACUUCAAGUACAGAUUACAUACUUCAAUUAGCAUCAAGGUUCAGGUUCAUAGGCAUCAAUAUUAAACCAAUAUGAUCAAUGCAACAAGCAACUUUAUAACACAGAUUAUGACAGUGAAAAACAGGGCAUACAUGUGAGCAACAAUAACAUGUUGACAUGUUGGAGGCAUGAAACGAUGAUGCUGCAUUGCAAGAUCAUGGCAAACAAAAGCAUGGCAUUAAUUUACAAGUUAUACAUGGCAAAAGAUGAUUGCUAAGCAUCUCCAUGUAACCUCUAGAUCAAUGGAAUUCAUCAAGACAAGAUUGCAAGUUAUAACAUAUUCUCAGACUUAGUGAAAAACAGAGUAUGGCAGAAAACAGAUUCAUGAUGCAUAUUUUGAGACGUUACAGGAACAUAUCAUGGCAAGCAAGAUCAUGGUAUGCUAGUACUAAAUGCACUUAACAAAAUACCCUCACUGAACAUGUUCCAGAAACACAUAGAUAAGAUGAUAGCAUCAAUGCAAAAUGGAAAGUUAUGCCGACAGUUCCAGACUUAGCAAAAUAAACAUGGCAAGGCAGAAAUAGAUUUAUGAUAGUAUGUUUGCAAGCUUGUUGCACUCACCACCGUCCACUUCAUGGCAUGAAAUAAAUUCUAGCAGCAAGAUGGCAUGCUUGUACUCCUACUCAUGUCAUGAAAUUGCUCAUAUGGACAUCACACAAAAUCAUAUAAAAAUGGCAAAAUGGCAUAUGCUGUAAAAUAACAUGUUCACAAACUUGCUCAAAUGAUGAAAUGGAUGCUAUAGAUGGAUUGGUGGGAUUUUUACUGUGCAAAAUGAUAUAUAAUAUGCAUAUGUUAAUGAAGAAAAAUGCUCACAAGUGCUAUAAGUUAAAACACUGCCUAAUAAGGAAAUAGACAUAAAUGAAAAACUGCAAGAUCUGGAAUGUCCAGAUUUGAACCUGCCCGAUUUGGAAAGAUGCCUCUGUCCAGAAAUGGAAUUUCGGGAAAUAUGAAAAUAAAGAAAAGGGAGUUGUGUGCGUGUGUAUGAACAGGGGCGGAGCCAGGAUUUGAACAUAGGGGGGCGAAGAGGACAAUGCACGUGCAAAAAAUGCAACACAAACUUAUAUCAUUCUUAAAUAUAGUGUUGAUAUCAAACAAACAAUGAUUUUCUUUUUGCAAUUACAUUGAAAUAGCUACAUUUUUUUAUUCACUUAGAUGUAUAUCGACACACAACAGGUCCAUCAAACCAUCAAAUGUCAAGCUUUGUAGCGAUUUCACUCCUAAAAUAUAUACAUGUCGCUCUGCAUUCUCAUAGUAGAGUGAGUGGUUAAAAAAAUUGGCUUCAAUUGUUAGUUAUUGGCGUUCUCUUCUUAUUCAUGCUUUAUGCAAUUCUAGACUUCCAGUUACUAUAAAAACAGAUAUAUCAUUUGUAAUUGAUUCUAACUAGUAAGUUUGUCCAAGUCAAAUGUUAAAUUAAUAAUAUAUCCAUGUAGCAUACCUUAGGUUGAGAUUAGACAAACCCACAAGUCGUGCUGUGAGAGCCCAGAGGGGGAGAUGUUUGCCAAUUAGUAGAUCAGCCUGUGGAGUUGUGGUUUAGGGUAGGAGUUGGGCGAGGCCCUGAGCGUGUGCGCAAAUGGAGGCGAGGCACUGACGUUGCUGCGUGCGCGCGGUGAAGAGCACUAGGGAAUCAGAGCGGAGUGAUGUACGGGCAACCGCAACCAUGGAAAAAAACACCAGCCUUGGCUAGAGCACGGAGUACGUGGCGUUGGUAGGGAAGUAACGACAUGUACGGGGAUCGAUGCGCGACGGGAAGGAUCAGGGAGGUGCAGCUGCUCACCUAGUCCCACAGGACAUGAAGACGAGGCAGAAGGCACGGCAGACACGACGCAGGGCGCGCGGAACUUGGCGGUCUUCAGGUCUGUGAAGAAGAGGAAGAAGACGGGUCAGAGAGGUCGAUCCAGAGGCCGUCUCGAUGCGUGCGUCAUAGAAGGAGACAAAGAGGAACUUGGCGGUCUUCUCCACGGCGGCAGAGGUGGUCGGAGGCGCGGCGAGGGGCUAUCCCGAGCUCGAGCUAAAGCUCGCUUGGGUCAUGGCGGGCAGCGCGACGGCGUGGCAUGGCUAGCCUUACCUGGCGGCGGUGAGGGAAGGAGAGGGUCUGAAUCGGUCGA